GGUAGGUGUGGUGACACACAUCUGUAGUCCCAGCUACUUGGGAGCCUGAGGCAAGAGGAUCACUUGAGCCCAGGAUUGAAGGCCAGCUUUUCAACAUAGGGAGACCCUGUGUCGGU
RNAcentral lists this small RNA (116 nucleotides) under Marmota monax (woodchuck). Lineage: Eukaryota; Metazoa; Chordata; Mammalia; Rodentia; Sciuridae. The record is from RNAcentral.